AUAUUUGUUCCUUGGGUGAGUCCCAAGUGAUCACAUAAAACUCCUCCACCUGAGCCUUUCUCAGCAAACCACCGGUGCUGCCGCCAAAAAUUGGCGAUGGGGUGCUUGGGUCCAACUCCGGUGGUGUGAAGCCCACCGGAGCCUCCUCAGUUUUUCCCUCUGCAGCAGUAGCCUUGAUGGGAGUUAGAGGGUUGGAGUAUUUAAGGGGUUUAGCAGCAGUUGGGAUUGAGAUAAAGGAGGAUUGAUUCCAUGGCACGAUCACAUGGUUGCUUGAUUUAAUGGUGGUGGUGGGUGUGAAGAGAGAGGCUUGAGUUGCCAUUGCCAUAAGGACUUGGAGAACUGU
Molecule: long non-coding RNA, 343 nt
Filed under: Manihot esculenta (cassava)
Lineage: Eukaryota; Viridiplantae; Streptophyta; Magnoliopsida; Malpighiales; Euphorbiaceae
Description: long non-coding RNA (MESC_LNC000902)
Source: RNAcentral